UCCUACCGGAAGCAGCAGUCGAAUCUACGCAAUGACGAAGGUCGGACGAAGCACGCGCUGAGCGAUGAGCUUCGGUCGUAAGCUCUGUUGUCAGGAGACAGUACCGAGUACUGCCCGUACCUUGACGGUACUGACCAGAAAGCCACGGCUAACUACGUGCCAGCAGCCGCGGUAAUACGUAGGUGGCAGCGUUGUCUGGAAUUAUUGGGCGUAAAGCGCGCGCAGGGCGGUUCUUUAAGUCUGAUGUGAAAGCCCCCGGCUCAACCGGGGAGGGUCAUUGGAAACUGGGGAACUUGAGUGCAGAAGAGGAGAGCGGAAUUCCACGUGUAGCGGUGAAAUGCGUAGAGAUGUGGAGGAACACCAGUGGCGAAGGCGGCUCUCUGGUCUGUAACUGACGCUGAGGCGCGAAAGCGUGGGGAGCGAACAGGAUUAGAUACCCUGGUAGUCCACGCCGUAAACGAUGAGUGCUAAGUGUUAGAGGGUUUCCGCCCUUUAGUGCUGCAGCAAACGCAUUAAGCACUCCGCCUGGGGAGUACGGCCGCAAGGCUGAAACUCAAAGGAAUUGACGGGGGCCCGCACAAGCGGUGGAGCAUGUGGUUUAAUUCGAAGCAACGCGAAGAACCUUACCAGGUCUUGACAUCCUCUGACAACCCUAGAGAUAGGGCUUUCCCCUUCGGGGGACAGAGUGACAGGUGGUGCAUGGUUGUCGUCAGCUCGUGUCGUGAGAUGUUGGGUUAAGUCCCGCAACGAGCGCAACCCUUGAUCUUAGUUGCCAGCAUUAAGUUGGGCACUCUAAGGUGACUGCCGGUGACAAACCGGAGGAAGGUGGGGAUGACGUCAAAUCAUCAUGCCCCUUAUGACCUGGGCUACACACGUGCUACAAUGGAUGGAACAAAGGGCAGCGAAGCCGCGAGGUGAAGCCAAUCCCAUAAAACCAUUCUCAGUUCGGAUUGCAGGCUGCAACUCGCCUGCAUGAAGCCGGAAUCGCUAGUAAUCGCGGAUCAGCAUGCCGCGGUGAAUACGUUCCCGGGCCUUGUACACACCGCCCGUCACACCACGAGAGUUUGUAACACCCGAAGUUCGGUGGGAUAUCGUAACAAGGUAAGCCGCGCGAAGAGUAACG
RNAcentral lists this ribosomal RNA (1123 nucleotides) under Mesobacillus subterraneus. Its description in RNAcentral is "bacterial SSU rRNA". It matches the Rfam family "Bacterial small subunit ribosomal RNA", at positions 337 to 1469 of the family's 1533-position model. The record is from RNAcentral. Lineage: Bacteria; Bacillati; Bacillota; Bacilli; Caryophanales; Bacillaceae.